This 501-nucleotide ribosomal RNA is filed under the name uncultured bacterium. Its description in RNAcentral is "partial 16S ribosomal RNA". It matches the Rfam family "Bacterial small subunit ribosomal RNA", at positions 30 to 523 of the family's 1533-position model. The record is from RNAcentral.
AUUGAACGCUGGCGGCAGGCUUAACACAUGCAAGUCGAGCGGAGAUGAGGUGCUUGCACCUUAUCUUAGCGGCGGACGGGUGAGUAAUGCUUAGGAAUCUGCCUAUUAGUGGGGGACAACAUUCCGAAAGGAAUGCUAAUACCGCAUACGUCCUACGGGAGAAAGCAGGGGAUCUUCGGACCUUGCGCUAAUAGAUGAGCCUAAGUCGGAUUAGCUAGUUGGUGGGGUAAAGGCCUACCAAGGCGACGCUCUGUAGCGGGUCUGAGAGGAUGAUCCGCCACACGGGGACGGAGACACGGCCCAGACUCCUACGGGAGGCAGCAGUGGGGAAUAUUGGACAAUGGGGGGAACCCUGAUCCAGCCAUGCCGCGUGUGUGAAGAAGGCAUUAUGGUUGUAAAGCACUUUAAGCGAGGAGGAGGCUACUGAGACUAAUACUCUUGGAUAGUGGACGUUACUCGCAGAAUAAGCACCGGCUAACUCUGUGCCAGCCGCCGCGGUAA